This 463-nucleotide ribosomal RNA is filed under the name Globigerina bulloides. RNAcentral describes it as "bacterial SSU rRNA". It matches the Rfam family "Eukaryotic small subunit ribosomal RNA", at positions 1164 to 1444 of the family's 1831-position model. The record is from RNAcentral. Lineage: Eukaryota; Foraminifera; Rotaliida; Globigerinidae.
GCACCACAAGAGCGUGGAGUAUGUGGCUUAAUUUGACUCAACGCGGAAAAGCUUAUCUGGUCCGGACACAGUGAGGAUUGACAGACAGUUAGACAGAAGUGAGGUUUUGGUAACAAUUGAGAGAGUUGAAGUUCUUUCAUGAUCUUGUGAGAGGUGGUGCAUGGCCGUUCUUAGUUCGUGUAGUGAUAUGUCUGCCUAAUCGCGUCACGAUAACCUAUUGGUCGACAACCCAAUUAUCACAACUGCAGCAUAACUCCCCUUGGGUGGGCGAGGCUCUGUGUAGGAUAGACCUCUGAACAGUACGCAACGAACGCGAUCGUAAUCCCUUGUUGAGUGGCCAUCCUGUAAGCUGCUGGAUUAGGAACCCAGUGGUAUUAUCUCAGCCACAGAUUUUCUGGUUGUAGUGGGCCAGUUUUGAAACUCGGGGAACAUCUGUGACUUUCUUUCUUAACGCAGAGGAAGG